UGAGGAAUAUUGGUCAAUGGGCGAGAGCCUGAACCAGCCAAGUAGCGUGCAGGAUGACGGCCCUAUUGGUUGUAAACUGCUUUUAUAUGGGAAUAAAGUGAGGGACGUGUCCCUUAUUGCAUGUACCAUACGAAUAAGGACCGGCUAAUUCCGUGCCAGCAUCCGCGGUAAUACGGAAGGUCCAUGCGUUAUCCGGAUUUAUUGGGUUUAAAGGGAGCGUAGGCUGUUUGUUAAGCGUGUUGUGAAAUGUAAGAGCUCAACUUUUAGAUUGCAGCGCGAACUGGCAGACUUGAGUGCGCAGAACGUAGGCGGAAUUCAUGGUGUAGCGGUGAAAUGCUUAGAUAUCAUGACUAACUCCGAUUGCGAAGGCAGCUUACGGGAGCGCAACUGACGCUAAAGCUCGAAGGUGCGGGUAUCGAACAGG
This 424-nucleotide ribosomal RNA is filed under the name Verrucomicrobiota bacterium. RNAcentral describes it as "Verrucomicrobia bacterium partial 16S ribosomal RNA". It matches the Rfam family "Bacterial small subunit ribosomal RNA", at positions 355 to 776 of the family's 1533-position model. The record is from RNAcentral. Lineage: Bacteria; Pseudomonadati; Verrucomicrobiota.